UCCAGUAUGACUUGUUUCAGGGAUGAGGCACAAAGAAAGGAGUGGCCUAGAAGUAACACUGUAAAAGAAUAAAGUAAACAAAAGGCUGUGUCAGCAAACUGUUUAAUGACAGUCAUCACGGUUGCGUUCCUUGCUCUAUAACGUACUUCUAUGUGAGGACACAAAGAAGUGAUUUUAUUUGAAUGUUCAGAUCUGGAAAUAGCUGCUGAGAUUCCUCCUACUGUUGUGUAGAUGGAACUGCCGUUCACCGGCUUUGAGCUGACCUUCAUCAUCUUUGCCUUCUUCAUCUUCUCGCUCUUCAGCUUGGCUUCAGUCUGCAUCAAACCAGAACCAGGACAUCAAGAAAAGUGUGGCAGGGAAGCAAAGGAGUCACAGCCAUUAAGCAGAAAGCAGAGAGUGAUCAACAAACAAGCUGGAAAGAAACCAUAAAGUCACACUCUGUCUGUCUUGAUCUGCUGUACUGCAGGGCAUUCAAGUUUAAGUUCUCAUGAAUGACUGGAAAUUAGAAUUAGAAUCAGAAAAUGAACUGAAAACAUCACAUUAAAAUAUUGAACUUGUACAGAUCACUGUAAAUAUUGUAUUAUCUCAUCUGACACUGACAUACACCCAUCUCUGCUCUGGUAUUGUUAAUUUAAACUAACAAUCUUUGUUUUCUAUGUGGAACAAAUCUGCUCAAAUCAUCAGUGUUAAUCAGGAUUUAUCCAAAAUAUGCUAACAAUAAACGUGUUUAUGAUGAUGAAGUCUCUGAGCCAGCCUUAUACACAAUUGGCAUUUGUGACAACUUCAAUUCAAAUGUACAGUGUGGGAAAUGCUUAAAUCAAGUUUAUAUCCCUCUUGAUUUUGUUAAAUAGUAGUUUUCUAAAUCUGUACUCUAUUUGAUCAUACGCACCUGAUGCAGCUGCGGCACACACUUCAGCGUGAGCUGAAAAUACAUUUUGUCUUCACUCACAAUUUGUAGGUGCUGUAUCUUGGUGCAAAUGUCAGUUAUUUAAUCGUCAAUGUUUUAUUAUGAACAAUGUCAUUUAAAUGUUUUAAAGAAAAUGUACAAAAAUUGCUAACAGUGCACUUCUGUUAGAAACGCACACACUAGAUUUACUACAUUUACUGAUCAGGUGUGUUUACAAUCUAAGCCAACAUGUAUGGCUGCACUGUUGAAAUACUCUCACAUACAAAUGCUAGUUUGUGGUCAUGGGGUUUACACGCAAAACAUGAAAACCACCCUGACAAAAGUUAAAUCAGUAAAACAUGUGUGAUGCUUCUCUCUAUGUCCUUUGUGUAUUUGUAUCUACUGGCGGGUAUGGCUUGAAAUCCACAAAGCACUUAAUAAACCAAACCGCUGCAUAGACA
Eleginops maclovinus (Patagonian blennie) is the source of this 1347-nucleotide long non-coding RNA. RefSeq lists it as uncharacterized. NCBI's taxonomy places the organism in Eukaryota, Metazoa, Chordata, Actinopteri, Perciformes, Eleginopidae. The record is from RefSeq and is a predicted model, not a curated record. The transcript is spliced from 3 exons.